GUGGGGAGCAUAGUGAGAUAAGGGUUAGGAAAACAGAGGAAAAGCUUUGGAAAAAACAGUGGAUAAUACAAGAAAGAAUUGAAAGUUACAGACCAUCCAUUUAAAAAAGAGUAGAAUUUAGUGCGACAGUAUUCAUAUAGCUAAAGCACCCGAUUUCGUUGUUCGGAACUCAAAUUUCGUCGAGAUUUCUCGAAAUUGGAGGUGGAGUUGGCUCUCUUUGCCCUGUUCGAGUUCCAGUAUCGCUGUCCAGGAAAGGUGAAAAGAAGGGAAAACACAGUUCAAAAAUACAGGGCAUAAAUUUCGACAAAAAAUGCAGGUCUUGGAAGGCCCAAAUGGGUCGGAUACACCGUGUAUACACUAGUAUACACAAAUUGUAUACAUAUUUUUGAAGGAAAAUAAGCCCAAUGUUUUAAGUGCAGGUGUAAAGGGAAAAAUGGCAAGGGUCAAGGCCCACUUACAGAUAGGACAGGGGAAGAAGUUGUGCCCAUCAGAUUUGUGGAUUUGGGCUGAUUAGCCCAAAUUAAUUUUUCAAUCCCUCUUCCUCUCUUUGUUUACUUAUGUUUGACUAACAUUGUGGUUUCAAUUUAAUUGAUUCUCAACGAUA
Long non-coding RNA from Solanum pennellii, 604 nucleotides. RefSeq lists it as uncharacterized. The transcript is spliced from 2 exons. NCBI's taxonomy places the organism in Eukaryota, Viridiplantae, Streptophyta, Magnoliopsida, Solanales, Solanaceae. The record is from RefSeq and is a predicted model, not a curated record.